AAUAGAUACCCAGGUAGUCCACGCCGUAAACGAUGGAUGCUAGCUGUUAGGAGUAUCGACCCUCCUAGUAGCGUAGCUAACGCGUUAAGCAUCCCGCCUGUGGAGUACGGUCGCAAGACUAAAACAUAAAGGAAUUGACGGGGACCCGCACAAGCGGUGGAGCGUGUUGUUUAAUUCGAUGGUAAGCGAAGAACCUUACCCAGGCUUGACAUCCUGUUAAUCACUCCGAAAGGAGAGAGUGCCUUCGGGCCGCAGUGACAGGUGAUGCAUGGCCGUCGUCAGCUCGUGUCGUGAGAUGUUUGGUUAAGUCCAUCAACGAGCGCAACCCUUAUAGUUAGUUGUAUUUCUCUAGCUAGACUGCCCUGGUAACAGGGAGGAAGGAGGGGAUGAUGUCAGGUCAGUAUCUCCCUUACGUCUGGGGCUACAAACACGCUACAAUGGCCGGUACAAAGGGCAGCCAACCCGCGAGGGGGAGCAAAUCCCAUCAAAGCCGGUCUCAGUUCGGAUUGCAGGCUGAAACUCG
Molecule: ribosomal RNA, 523 nt
Filed under: uncultured bacterium
Lineage: Bacteria
Description: bacterial SSU rRNA
Rfam family: Bacterial small subunit ribosomal RNA
Source: RNAcentral